This 73-nucleotide transfer RNA is filed under the name Gloeochaete wittrockiana. RNAcentral describes it as "tRNA-Trp". It matches the Rfam family "tRNA". Rfam says of the family: Transfer RNA (tRNA) molecules are approximately 80 nucleotides in length. Their secondary structure includes four short double-helical elements and three loops (D, anti-codon, and T loops). Further hydrogen bonds mediate the characteristic L-shaped molecular structure. tRNAs have two regions of fundamental functional importance: the anti-codon, which is responsible for specific mRNA codon recognition, and the 3' end, to which the tRNAs corresponding amino acid is attached (by aminoacyl-tRNA synthetases). tRNAs cope with the degeneracy of the genetic code in two manners: having more than one tRNA (with a specific anti-codon) for a particular amino acid; and 'wobble' base-pairing, i.e. permitting non-standard base-pairing at the 3rd anti-codon position. Lineage: Eukaryota; Glaucocystophyceae; Gloeochaetales; Gloeochaetaceae. The record is from RNAcentral.
GCGCUUUUAGUUCAGUUGGUAGAACGCAGGUCUCCAAAAUCUGAUGUCGUAGGUUCAAGUCCUACAGAGCGCG